GACGAACGCUGGCGGCGUGCCUAAUACAUGCAAGUAGAACGCACAGUUUAUACCGUAGCUUGCUACACCAUAGACUGUGAGUUGCGAACGGGUGAGUAACGCGUAGGUAACCUGCCUGGUAGCGGGGGAUAACUAUUGGAAACGAUAGCUAAUACCGCAUAAUAUUAAUUAUUGCAUGAUAAUUGAUUGAAAGAUGCAACUGCAUCACUACCAGAUGGACCUGCGUUGUAUUAGCUAGUAGGUGAGUAACGGCUCACCUAGGCGACGAUACAUAGCCGACCUGAGAGGGUGAUCGGCCACACUGGGACUGAGACACGGCCCAGACUCCUACGGGAGGCAGCAGUAGGGAAUCUUCGGCAAUGGACGAAAGUCUGACCGAGCAACGCCGCGUGAGUGAAGAAGGUUUUCGGAUCGUAAAGCUCUGUUGUAAGAGAAGAACGGGUGUGAGAGUGGAAAGUUCACACUGUGACGGUAUCUUACCAGAAAGGGACGGCUAACUACGUG
RNAcentral lists this ribosomal RNA (504 nucleotides) under uncultured bacterium. RNAcentral describes it as "partial 16S ribosomal RNA". It matches the Rfam family "Bacterial small subunit ribosomal RNA", at positions 28 to 507 of the family's 1533-position model. The record is from RNAcentral.